Molecule: ribosomal RNA, 759 nt
Filed under: uncultured bacterium
Lineage: Bacteria
Description: bacterial SSU rRNA
Rfam family: Bacterial small subunit ribosomal RNA
Source: RNAcentral
UUCGGGCUGACGAGUGGCGAACGGGUGAGUAAUACAUCGGAACCGUGCCCAGUCGUGGGGGAUCUACUCGAAAAGAGUAGCUAAUACCGCAUACGAUCUGAGGAUGAAAGCGGGGGACCUUGGCCCUCGCGCGAUUGGAGCGGCCGAUGGCAGAUUAGGUAGUUGGUGGGAUAAAAGCUCCAAGCCGACGAUCUGUAGCUGGUCUGAGAGGACGACCAGCCACACUGGGACUGAGACGGCCCAGACUCCUACGGGAGGCAGCAGUGGGGAAUUUUGGACAAUGGGCGAAAGCCUGCCAGCAAUGCCGCGUGCAGGAUGAAGGCCUUCGGGUUGUAAACUGCUUUUGUACGGAAAAAAAGCUUCUCCUAAUACGAGAGGCCCAUGACGGUACCGUAAGAAUAAGCACCGGCUCUACGUGCCAGCAGCCGCGGUAAUACGUAGGGUGCGAGCGUUAAUCGGAAUUACUGGGUAAAGCGUGCGCAGGCGGUUAUGUAAGACAGAUGUGAAAUCCCCGGGCUCAACCUGGGCUGCAUUUGUGACUGCAUGGCUAGAGUACGGUAGAGGGGGAUGGAAUUCCGCGUGUAGGUGAAAUGCGUAGAUAUGCGGAGGAACACCGAUGGCGAAGGCAAUCCCCUGGACCUGUUGACGCUCAUGCACGAAAGCGUGGGGAGCAAACAGGAUUAGAUACCCUGGUAGUCCACCCUAAACGAUGUCAACUGGUUGUUGGGAAUUAGUUUUCUCAGUAACGAAGCUAACGCG